GUGUCAGUGCGAAGAUUCUCCUCCUUUAACCUGUUCUCCAGGAGCAGGGUCACUCCCACAGAGACGGAUGAGCCAUGGGACCGGCAGUGGGUGGAGUACAGAAGUGCAGUCUUUCCUCAGUACAGUGCCUUACUCAGAGACAAUCUUGGUCCAGUUAGAGUGAAUGAGGUGCUCAGCAGCUUUGACAACACAGGAAAUGUCUAACAUAUCCUAUGGCAGGCAGCAGGGGGUCAGAUCAAGCUGCAGCUCCAUCAUGCACCAGAGGCAGGCACACUUGAGCCUUAGAAGCACCUAAUUAUAAGCAACUUAUUGACUCCUCCUGUCUGUGCCAGGAGUGUUAAAGUACCUUUUCUUUCCCAGCACAUGUCUGAACAACAAUACAAUUAAAUAAGCAAUGUACAUAUCAGGGAAAAUUACAGCAAAUAUUUAAGUUGGCCAAAUUGAAACCUUAUAAGUGAAUAUAGGUGACUGAACAAAGUUGCACAAUCAACUAGUUGCAGAAACAAUUAACUGAUUUCAUUGUUUCCCAUGACUUGUAAUUCCUGUGUACUGUAAAUAUAUUU
This 563-nucleotide long non-coding RNA is filed under the name Sinocyclocheilus anshuiensis. RNAcentral describes it as "lncRNA (ENSSANG00000008131.1)". The record is from RNAcentral. Lineage: Eukaryota; Metazoa; Chordata; Actinopteri; Cypriniformes; Cyprinidae.